GACGAACGCUGGCGGCGCGCCUAACACAUGCAAGUCGAACGGAGAUUACAGGCGGAAGUUUUCGGAUGGAAGCUUGUAAACUUAGUGGCGGACGGGUGAGUAACACGUGAGCAACCUGCCUAUCAGAGGGGGAUAACGAUUGGAAACGAUCGCUAAUACCGCAUGACAUAGCGGAAUCGCAUGGUUCUGUUAUCAAAGAUUUUAUCGCUGAUAGAUGGGCUCGCGUCCGAUUAGAUAGUUGGUGGGGUAACGGCCUACCAAGUCGACGAUCGGUAGCCGGACUGAGAGGUCGAACGGCCACAUUGGGACUGAGACACGGCCCAGACUCCUACGGGAGGCAGCAGUGGGGGAUAUUGCACAAUGGGGGAAACCCUGAUGCAGCGACGCCGCGUGAGGGAAGACGGUCCUCUGGAUUGUAAACCUCUGUCUUCGGGGACGAAACGAGACGGUACCCGAGGAGGAAGCCACGGCUAACUACGUGCCAGCAGCCGCGGUAAUACGUAGGUGGCAAGCGUUGUCCGGAAUUACUGGGUGUAAAGGGAGCGUAGGCGGGCAGGCAAGUCAGGCGUGAAAUAUAUCGGCUCAACCGGUAACGGCGCUUGAAACUGCAGGUCUUGAGUGAAGUAGAGGUUGGCGGAAUUCCUAGUGUAGCGGUGAAAUGCGUAGAUAUUAGGAGGAACACCAGUGGCGAAGGCGGCCAACUGGGCUUUUACUGACGCUGAGGCUCGAAAGUGUGGGGAGCAAACAGGAUUAGAUACCCUGGUAGUCCACACCGUAAACGAUGAUUACUAGGUGUUGGAGGAUUGACCCCUUCAGUGCCGCAGUUAACACAAUAAGUAAUCCACCUGGGGAGUACGACCGCAAGGUUGAAACUCAAAGGAAUUGACGGGGGCCCGCACAAGCAGUGGAGUAUGUGGUUUAAUUCGACGCAACGCGAAGAACCUUACCAAGUCUUGACAUCCUGCGACGAUGCUGGAAACAGUAUUUUCCUUCGGGACGCAGAGACAGGUGGUGCAUGGUUGUCGUCAGCUCGUGUCGUGAGAUGUUGGGUUAAGUCCCGCAACGAGCGCAACCCUUACUGUCAGUUACUACGCAAGAGGACUCUGGCAGGACUGCCGUUGACAAAACGGAGGAAGGUGGGGAGGACGUCAAAUCAUCAUGCCCUUUAUGACUUGGGCUACACACGUACUACAAUGGCGUUAAACAAAGAGAAGCAAGACCGCGAGGUGGAGCAAAACUCAGAAACAACGUCCCAGUUCGGACUGCAGGCUGCAACUCGCCUGCACGAAGUCGGAAUUGCUAGUAAUCGUGGAUCAGCAUGCCACGGUGAAUAAGUUCCCGGGCCUUGCACA
This 1352-nucleotide ribosomal RNA is filed under the name uncultured bacterium. RNAcentral describes it as "bacterial SSU rRNA". It matches the Rfam family "Bacterial small subunit ribosomal RNA", at positions 28 to 1387 of the family's 1533-position model. The record is from RNAcentral.